GUGCGAGACCGAUAGCGAACAAGUACCGUGAGGGAAAGAUGAAAAGAACUUUGAAAAGAGAGUUAAAGAGUACCUGAAACUGCUGAAAGGGAAGCGAAUCGUAUCCAGUGUCUAUAAUCUGCGACAUAUUUCAUUGGCGGCAGUGUGCGUGCUUUUGCGUCGGAAGCGGCUUUUGUUGCUCUGUGCUUUUGCUGUGCGCGCUGUUGCUGUUGCCCUGUGUUGCGGUGGGACGUCAGAGUCAGUUCGUAUGCUGCGGGAAAUGGCCGCCGAGGAGGUAGGUCAGGAUUUCGGUCUUGGCUGUUAUAUCUUGGUGGUUUGUUGUCGUGGUUGGGACUGAGGUGCCUACAAUGUGCUUUUGAGUGUUCCGGGUUCUCAUUUGGUGGACUGUUUGGAUAGCUUGCUAUGCUUGUGGUUUUUUCAUCGAGUGAUUGAGUCUGGUGGUAACUUGUUGCUGUUCGGGACUUUGAA
This 468-nucleotide ribosomal RNA is filed under the name uncultured rhizosphere oomycete. RNAcentral's name for it is "eukaryotic LSU rRNA". It matches the Rfam family "Eukaryotic large subunit ribosomal RNA", at positions 326 to 630 of the family's 3401-position model. The record is from RNAcentral. Lineage: Eukaryota; Oomycota.